Molecule: non-coding RNA, 184 nt
Filed under: Vasconcelosia minhoensis LEGE 07310
Lineage: Bacteria; Bacillati; Cyanobacteriota; Cyanophyceae; Nodosilineales; Cymatolegaceae
Description: Phormidium sp. LEGE 07310 6S / SsrS RNA
Rfam family: 6S / SsrS RNA
About the family: E. coli 6S RNA was the first non coding RNA to be sequenced, but its function was unknown until recently. It consists of 184 nucleotides that fold into an extended hairpin structure with a large single-stranded internal bulge.
Source: Rfam by way of RNAcentral
GUCCAACUGCGGCGUUGGUGACUGCCAACAACGUUUUCUGAUCUAUGCUUUUCACUUAAGGGGACUGAGAUGCCCUGGCGGCAGUAUACCGGGCUUGUUCUCGGAAACUAUAAGCCAGUGGCCUUGGUUCCCACCUGGUUUACCCAGGUCAAAAACUGAGGUAAGACGGCGCUGCGGUUGGCUA